GGCAUCAUGAGUCCGCAUGUUCACAGAUUAAAGGUAUUCCGGUAGACGAUGGGGAUGCGUUCCAUUAGAUAGUAGGCGGGGUAACGGCCCACCUAGUCUUCGAUGGAUAGGGGUUCUGAGAGGAAGGUCCCCCACAUUGGAACUGAGACACGGUCCAAACUCCUACGGGAGGCAGCAGUGAGGAAUAUUGGUCCAAUGGGCGAGAGCCUGAACCAGCCAAGUAGCGUGAAGGAUGACUGCCCUAUGGGUUGUAAACUUCUUUUAUAAAGGAAUAAAGUCGGGUAUGCAUACCCGUUUGCAUGUACUUUAUGAAUAAGGAUCGGCUAACUCCGUGCCAGCAGCCGCGGUAAUACGGAGGAUCCGAGCGUUAUCCGGAUUUAUUGGGUUUAAAGGGAGCGUAGAUGGAUGUUUAAGUCAGUUGUGAAAGUUUGCGGCUCAACCGUAAAAUUGCAGUUGAUACUGGAUAUCUUGAGUGCAGUUGAGGCAGGCGGAAUUCGUGGUGUAGCGGUGAAAUGCUUAGAUAUCACGAAGAACUCCGAUUGCGAAGGCAGCCUGCUAAGCUGCAACUGACAUUGAGGCUCGAAAGUGUGGGUAUCAAACAGGAUUAGAUACCCUGGUAGUCCACACGGUAAACGAUGAAUACUCGCUGUUUGCGAUAUACGGCAAGCGGCCAAGCGAAAGCGUUAAGUAUUCCACCUGGGGAGUAC
This 707-nucleotide ribosomal RNA is filed under the name uncultured bacterium. RNAcentral's name for it is "bacterial SSU rRNA". It matches the Rfam family "Bacterial small subunit ribosomal RNA", at positions 173 to 883 of the family's 1533-position model. The record is from RNAcentral.